GUGCCAGCCGCCGCGGUAAUACGUAGGGUGCGAGCGUUAAUCGGAAUUACUGGGCGUAAAGCGUGCGCAGGCGGUUAUGUAAGACAGGUGUGAAAUCCCCGGGCUUAACCUGGGAACUGCGCUUGUGACUGCAUAACUCGAGUGUGGCAGAGGGGGGUGGAAUUCCACGUGUAGCAGUGAAAUGCGUAGAGAUGUGGAGGAACACCGAUGGCGAAGGCAGCCCCCUGGGUCAACACUGACGCUCAUGCACGAAAGCGUGGGGAGCAAACAGGAUUAGAAACCCCAGUAGUCC
This 292-nucleotide ribosomal RNA is filed under the name uncultured bacterium. Its description in RNAcentral is "partial 16S ribosomal RNA". It matches the Rfam family "Bacterial small subunit ribosomal RNA", at positions 505 to 796 of the family's 1533-position model. The record is from RNAcentral.